ACAGCCUGAAGCUAGCACAGGUUGAGUGUAUGGAUUAUAUUAUCGUAUUUACAUAUGAUUGACUGUGUAUCUCUUUUGCUUUUCAGUGUCUUCUGAGAAACAACCAGCCUGUAAGGUUACAAGUGACCAGAAAGAUUCUAUUUUGAAUAUCGCCACAGAAAUAAAGGAUGGACAAAAAUCUGGGACAGUGUCUUCUGAGAAACAACC
Molecule: long non-coding RNA, 207 nt
Organism: Rhinopithecus roxellana (golden snub-nosed monkey)
Lineage: Eukaryota; Metazoa; Chordata; Mammalia; Primates; Cercopithecidae
Exons: 3
Source: RefSeq, a predicted model, not a curated record